Molecule: ribosomal RNA, 119 nt
Filed under: Pteropus alecto (black flying fox)
Lineage: Eukaryota; Metazoa; Chordata; Mammalia; Chiroptera; Pteropodidae
Also listed under: 1 other name
Source: RNAcentral
UAUUUUAGCCAUGCCACCCUGAACAAGCCUGAUCCCAUCUGAUCUCGGAAGCUAAGCAGGGUCGGUCCUGGUUAGUACUUGGAUGGGAGACCACCUAGGAAGACCAGGUGAUGUAGGCA